UGGGGAAUAUUGCACAAUGGGCGAAAGCCUGAUGCAGCGACGCCGCGUGAGGGAUGACGGCCUUCGGGUUGUAAACCUCUUUCAGCAGGGACGAAGCGCAAGUGACGGUACCUGCAGAAGAAGCACCGGCUAACUACGUGCCAGCAGCCGCGGUAAUACGUAGGGUGCAAGCGUUGUCCGGAAUUACUGGGCGUAAAGAGUUCGUAGGCGGUUUGUCGCGUCGUUUGUGAAAACCAGCAGCUCAACUGCUGGCUUGCAGGCAAUACGGGCAGACUUGAGUACUGCAGGGGAGACUGGAAUUCCUGGUGUAGCGGUGAAAUGCGCAGAUAUCAGGAGGAACACCGGUGGCGAAGGCGGGUCUCUGGGCAGUAACUGACGCUGAGGAACGAAAGCGUGGGUAGCGAACAGG
RNAcentral lists this ribosomal RNA (409 nucleotides) under bacterium. Its description in RNAcentral is "partial 16S ribosomal RNA". It matches the Rfam family "Bacterial small subunit ribosomal RNA", at positions 355 to 776 of the family's 1533-position model. The record is from RNAcentral.